UACGUAGGGUGCGAGCGUUGUCCGGAAUUAUUGGGCGUAAAGCGCGCGUAGGCGGUUUUUUAAGUCUGAUGUGAAAGCCCACGGCUCAACCGUGGAGGGUCAUUGGAAACUGGAAAACUUGAGUGCAGAAGAGGAAAGUGGAAUUCCAUGUGUAGCGGUGAAAUGCGCAGAGAUAUGGAGGAACACCGGUGGCGAAGGCGGGACCCUGGGCCGGUACUGACGCUGAGGAGCGAAAGCGUGGGGAGCAAACAGGAUUAGAUACCCUCGUAGUCC
Molecule: ribosomal RNA, 273 nt
Filed under: uncultured Staphylococcus sp.
Lineage: Bacteria; Bacillati; Bacillota; Bacilli; Caryophanales; Staphylococcaceae
Description: partial 16S ribosomal RNA
Rfam family: Bacterial small subunit ribosomal RNA
Source: RNAcentral